GGCUAAGCCCUGCCUCUAUAUUUGCAUAAGGCUAAGCACUGCCUUCUAUUUGCAUGGGACUAAGCCCUGUCCCGCAUUUUGCAUGAGGCUAAACCCUGCCUCCUUAUUUGCAUAAGGCUAAGCACUGUCUUCUCAUGGGACUAAGCAUUGUCCCUCCUUGCAUAAAUGUUGCUCUAUUCUGGAACUAUUUAUUUACUCUUCUGUCGGGCUAAGCUCUGCCCUCCAUUUCACAAGACAAAGCCUUGUCUUGUUAACAUCAUGUUAUUGCAUCUCAUGGGCUAAAAUAUUUCCAAUCUUUCCAAAGGCGUCAUAGUCUAAAGGCAUCAUCCUCAUAGCCGGAAGACACCGUGCCAUGGCCUGAGGAUCUCUCAAAUUUGCAUAUCACUAUUCAAAGGCGUCAUGGUUUGGAGGCACCAUUUUCAUGGCCCGAGAACAUCAUUUCAUGGCCCGUGAAUCUCUUAUCUAGACAAUUCAUGGCCCAGGACAUCAUGGUCUAAGGACGUCAUCCUUAACCGUCCAAAGACAACUCUCAUGAUUCGAAAGGAAUCUGCAUCAUGUUUAAAUUUUCACACAAAUACAUGUUCGUAGCAUCUCUUUAUCUGCAGGUGACCAAUAAGCAACCGCUAUCCCAGCAUGAGCGACCUCGCUCCAGUUCCUUCAACUAUCUCAAACUUGACCUCACCAUAGCCAUUCUUUCAUCCAUCUCGAAAUUUCGUGUCCGUUCUUGUAAUGACUUCAUCGGUACAUUCCGUCGAUGGAUCUGGAACUAUACAUGGCCUGAUUCUUGUAAAACCAGGGGUAUAUAGGUAGCUCGAAAACUAGAGUCCGGCCUCUAGUGUUUUUAAAACAUCACAUUCGAUCAAAAUUGGCCAUUAUUUCUUUAUCCGAAAACUCUUUCAUCCUUCUCGGGUAAAGAGGGGCAGCUGUUGAUACCCAAUUUUUCCCUAUAAUAUUUUUUUAAAAUCCUUAUAUAACCUUAAAACUAUGCAUUGGCAUCAAUGGGUAUUUUUUUCAUAAUUUUUACAUUUUUUAAUUAAUUUAUAUCAAUAUUUUCUUUAUAUAAAUAAUUAUAAAUUUGCAUUACAGAUAAUUUUUAAAAUAUCUCUUGAUUUAAUAUUACCAUUUAUGGCCUUAUUAAGUUCCAAUUAUUUCAUAAAUGGCCAAAUUUACACCUUUUGGUUACAAUUGCAUUGAUUUUGCAAUUAUUGCCCAUGUACACAUCACGACAUAAUUUUGCCAGAUAUUGGACCCUUAUAUUUUUAAAAUAUUGAAUAAUUAUUUUGAGGCAUUUCUAUGCAUAAAAAUUAUUUUUUUUCAUUGUUAAUUAUUUUAUAAAAUAAUUUUAUUCAAAUAUUUGGGUAUUUAACAAAUAGCCUCUUAAUCUCCCUAAUUUUCGAACCCAAAAACCGGCCCAAAUCCCUAACCCAAUUCACCCAGGCCCAAAGGCAAUUAGACCAGACCCAGACCCCUCUAAUCUUGACUGUUGAUCUCUGAGAUCAAUGGCCCAUAUUGGUUCUUCACCAUGAGUAAGAAGCCUCUCUUAUUUUGAUAUGAAUCCACGAUUUUCUAGACCUAUGUUCUCAUCUCUAAUUUACUUCUGAAAGCCCUAAAUUUUGUCUUUGAUUUUCUCAGAUCUGUACAUAUUUGAGAAGAAUCAGACCUAUUUCACAUGUUUUUCAUAAAAAAUCUUCUGGUUUUUUGAGUGAUUUUUCAUUUUUCUAAAGCUAAGAUUUCCUGGAAAUCCUUUUCUCCAAACGUUUUCUGACUUUGAAUGUUUAACCUUCUGUUCUUAUGUGCUUUUAGUCGAUUUAUGUUAAGUUUGCCUUAGCCCUAGUUGAUUCAUGCUAAAACCCCAAUUUUUGACAAUUUUUGCUUUGAUUCUAAGCUUGACCGUGUUACCUGUGCAAUGUUUCGUUCUAUGCUUUGAUUCUCAUGAUUUCUCCUUAGUCUAAUUUAAACGUCUUGUGAUUUUUACCCUAGUAUGUCUCUAUUAAGGCUUCUGACUUGAUUUCUCGACUGAUUCUGUGUGUUUAUACUUAGCCUAUUUGUGUAUUGGUGGAAACAUAUAUUAUUCUCCUUUAAAUCAGUACUAUUUUGGAUUCUUGAUUCACUGAUUUGCUCCGUAAAAACCUCGGGCUGAUUCUUGAUUAUUUAUUUAUUUGCGACCUUAUUUAGUUUCUUACCUUAUUUGAUUAACUGCAAUACUUACUGAUUCCUCAAGAUUGUUUCCUUAAUUGAACCCCUGCUUAUUUACCCUUAAUUGUCCACUAUGUACUUAAGUCUUACUCGAUUUUCUUUCUUUAAAUGUUGUCCUUCCCUUUACCGUUGGGUAAUUACCCCUUAAUUAAGGGAGACUAUACUGACUUUGUACAUAAUUGAUUCUGUUAGCUUCCUUAAUUGUUGACUGAUUGAUCUCCUUUACCUUACUCUAUUUUUCUCCCAACUACUAUAUAUACUCUCCUCUAUUCUCACUUCUGGAUAGACAUAAGCUCACAAUACACACACACUCUCAAACUAUUCUCCUUCUUUGCUACUUGUGCUAUUGUGGGUCUAGCCGGCUGAAAGCCAAGGCUAGAUAGUGGGACUAUACUUGCUCUAUAUUCUACACUCUUUUGCUUUUUUUUUUCCUCAACCGGUAUGUCUCUAGUUAAAUCUGAAGCCCAAACUCUAUGUCUUGUAUUCCUACAUUAGCUCAUUGAUUAUGAAUUUGACAUAUCCUCUCAGUUACUUCUUUGUUUAGCAUGCCUAAAUUCUGUCAUGUUCAAUGUACAACUAGUAUGUCUACCUUUCACAUGUCUAUCUGAUGUUUGAACAGCCUGUUUGUUGAUUUAUGAUUAAUCCUUUAACUAUGUGAUCAUGUUGGUUGCUUAAUAUGGUUGAUCCUACUUGUGUGUCUGAUUCUAUCCUCUAUAUAUUUUCCCCAUGUCUUAAUUGCCUACUAUCUUGAUUAAUCUGUUAAGGCUGUGAAGCUCCUAAGUGUUCUAUGCACAUUGUUGUCUACAUGUCUCCAUGCACCCUAUACAUGUACCCAAUGAGGUUCUGAUAUGUUCUCAAUCCCUUCCACCCCUGUGUGCAAACAUGCCUUCUAUAGUACUUGUGAAUCUGAACCUUCUAUGAUUUAUUGACUGUUUAUUGAAUUUGCUCUAUUCUGAACUGUUUUCAAGUGUUGUCAGUAUUCUUUUAAAAAAACUGACUUUCAUUCCUAGUAUUUUCUCAAAACUGGUCAAUUCUAGAAAAACCUUUUUCACUCCUAAACUGUUUUCACUAAGUCUUUCAAAACUAUGUCAAGCACUCUUACUUACUCUUAGGUUAUUAAGUUCUGCCCCUCUGGUAUGUGUACCGCUUAGGGAUCCUUGAGGUCUCUCUGAACUCUGGCAUAUCAGAGCUGGCUCUUCCACACUGCACAUAAUCAGUCUUUAUUUGAGAAAAGUCUGGGUAUGAGCACUGCCUUGGAUCCUUGAGGUCCUUAGGGAACUCUAACACACCUGGACACAAAUUUGGUAAUGUAACUCUUGGCAUUUGAGACUACUGAAGGCCUGGUACCCCAGGUUUGCUUUGGGCCUGCAUCAGGCUCUCUAUAGUUUAAUCUACAUUGCAUUUAUGUAAUUUAUUCCAUUCUAGUCUGUAAUAAUCAUUUGUAAACAGAUAUUUACGUAACUAGUGAAAAUGGAGGGUAGUUGUAUGAUAUUGUGGGUAAAAUUGGGUAGAAAACAUGCAAUAGGCUUUAUAUUCUGCAAAUCUGCAUUAGAAGCCAUGUUCUAGGAUUGAUGUGUUCAUUUGCAUUUAAACCAUGUUGAACAUGUGCAUUAGAUAUCCUGUCUUUAUGGCCUUCACGUUUACUGCUUCAGCAUGUUGCAUGCUCAAUUCCUGGUACUGCCACAUAGACAUCCUGUUACUAAAUGAUCUUAAUAAAACUAUCAUUCAUGUAUGCAUUAGAUACCAUAUUCUUAGGAACUCUGUUUGCAUCUGUCUGAACCACGUCUAUUUCGAUUAAAUCAAUAGUUGUCCACAAAAAGGUUUAAAACAGACUCACGCGUAGGUAUCAUGUCUCAAAACACAAGUUGAUAAAUCGCCUGUUAUGAUCUGUAUCACAUAAAUCUAGCAUGCCUAUAGGUUGAAUAAUCUCAAACUGUUUAAACAGCUCCUGCUACUAUGAUUGUGUAGAAUGCCACGCCUAGGCAAGCCUUAGAUAAUUAAUCUCCUUGUAAAACUGAAAACUGUGUUCUGAUUGUGUUUAAACUGCUUAAGUCUCACAUAUUUUGAAAAACCAGUAGGCAAACUGGUUAGGAUUCAGCCACUUCCCUUAAAACAAAUGCUGCAUGUUCUGUUCUGUGAUGUUCAUCUAGAUAUAAUGUUCCUAGGCUUUCUGAACUUAUUCAAAAUCAGCUGUUUGAGACGUGCUGUUUAUUUGCCUAUGUAUAUGUGGAGGAAAAUAUGAGCCUUUUACUUGCUUCUUUAAUUGACAGUCCCAUAUGUUAUUCGUUAUCGCCUAGACUUUUUCCUUUUAAACACCUUAGGAUUGUCUUGAACUGCCUAAGUCUAGAGGUCCUAAAUUCCUUCGGGCAAAAAGGAAGGGAUGGGUAGCAGCACGCUUAGAGGUCGUUAAUCAAACUCGCUUAUAUAACCAUUAAGGGAAGGUAAUGGGUAGUAAAAGGAUAUGAUGACUUGCGCGCUAAUGUCACGUGUAGCCCCUCUAGUUGAGUAGGAUUACCGAGCAUUGCACAGAUUGAUCAUGUAGGCUAAUCAACUUAGGACUUUCCUUUCUCAAUUCCUAUAUGUGUUUAAAUUAUCAAAAUUUCCUUUUUUUACAUAUACAUGUGUAAGCUGUCCAAACCUCUUUUACUUUCAUUAUCUGAACUCUAUUAUCUAAGCUGUCCAAACCUCUUUUACUUUCAUUAUCUAAGCUGUCCAAAUUUCCUUGAUCAUAUAUGCAUUUAGAUGGGGAAAACUACUUUAUUUGUAAAUACGUACUUACUUGUUAAUUGACUAAUUCGCAUAGUUUGAGUUCAGCUGGGACUCACCAUUGUAGACCGCGAGGGGUGCCUAACACCUUCCCCUCAAGGUUAUUUCGAGCCCUUACCCCGAUCUCUGGUAAUGCAAACUAGUUACAUGAGUUAAUCGCUCUAGGUGCCCUAACGCACCUUAAUCCGUUAGGUAGCGACUCUUCAAAUACCCAAUUCCCAAAAUUUCCCAAUGAAUAUUGAAACCCGGACUCCCCGAGGAAAAAUGGGGCGCGACACACACGAAAAAAGAAAAUGAAUUGAGAUCUUACCAUUUUAAAAAUAUGGUAAUUCAGAAUACCAUCUUAACUCUAGAAUAGAAAUCAGUGCCAUUAGAUCACUACAAAAGAUUUGCUAAAUAAGCAAAAUAAAUGACCUUUAUACACAUUUCAUCUUCUUCAAACUACAUAAUAUUCAGAAAUUGACUAAGUAAAUAUUAAAAAUACCACAUUACCUUUUGAUUCUAUUAAGCACGAUGUAGGAAGUCCAAUAAUUGAUCAAUUUUUUAUGAAAAAAAUGAAGUGUUUGAACAAUUUUUACAUCAAGCCUUAAUUUCAAACCAAUCCAAAAUGUUAUGUCAAAGAAAAAAAAGAUCAACAUCGGUAAUAGUGUUAACUCCAUCAAAUUUUAAAGCAAAAAACAAUUGAAUUUCAGCUGAUUUUUUUAAAAAAACAUAGCGAUUACAAAAUCGAUUAACAAAGAAGGAGACCUCCAAAUAUUUACAUAAUCACACAGUUUCCAAUUUACCCAAAAUCAUAAAAAGGGAAUAGAAGAAAUUAGGGCUUUUAGCAUAAGGAUGAAUUUUGGAGUGUAAGGGUAGAAAUCAAGAGGAACAAAGUCAGAGAGAAAGAAGGGUACCUAGUAGUAGCGAAAGAGAACCAAGUUCGCCGCUUAAGAAGAGUGUUGUUUCAGUUCACUGCAUCCAAACGUUUGUUGCAACUUGUCGUAGUUACCCUACUGAGCGGGAAAAGAGCGGUGGGAUAUUUCAGAGUGUUUUAACAGGAGAG
This 6007-nucleotide long non-coding RNA is filed under the name Nicotiana tabacum (common tobacco). RNAcentral describes it as "long non-coding RNA (NTAB_LNC014517)". The record is from RNAcentral. Lineage: Eukaryota; Viridiplantae; Streptophyta; Magnoliopsida; Solanales; Solanaceae.